CGGAGAAGCUGUACAUCUGGAAGGCAAAUCCUGAGGACGAUCAGGACUCUACCAUCAAGGAUUCCUCACACGCAUGAGCUGAACCUCACCUGAUCCUGUUUGGUCGGGGGCAGACGCACCUGAGCUGAACCCCACCUGAUCCGGACAUCCUGCUGGUCCCGUCUCCUCAGUUCAUCUGAGCCUCUUCCUCCAGAAGACAUGCUGAGCUCGGCGGUCUGAGGCUGAUACCAGGUAUCCAUGGCUGAAGGAGCUGAUGGUGGAGCCGUGCUGAAAGAGCGGAUGGAGGAGCCGUGCUGACGGCCCUGCCUGGUGGAGGAGCCGUGCUGACGGCCCUGCCUGGUGGAGGAGCCGUGCUGACGGCCCUGCCUGGUGGAGGAGCCGUGCUGACGGCCCUGCCUGGUGGAGGAGCCGUGCUGACGGCCCUGCCUGGUGGAGGAUGUCUGUCGUGGGGUAGAUGGAGCCUGACUCUGUGACAUCACACUCACUGCCACUUCUCGUAGAAUACUGCUACCACAAACCACCGGCGUUUGUAACAAUAUACCAGACGACUACAUCUGUUUUACCACAUGUUGAAGCAAGACUUCUGCUGUUUGUUCCAGACCAGGACUCUGUCUGAGGAGAGCAGAUGGAGGAGCUGAGAUGCUGGAGGACAACUAGGAAUCGACCAACAAGGAUUCUUCAACGUGUUUCUGGAGCGGAGGCCAGCUGGUAGGGGC
Gadus chalcogrammus (walleye pollock) is the source of this 716-nucleotide long non-coding RNA. RefSeq lists it as uncharacterized. The record is from RefSeq and is a predicted model, not a curated record. The transcript is spliced from 4 exons. Lineage: Eukaryota; Metazoa; Chordata; Actinopteri; Gadiformes; Gadidae.